GUGAGGAAUAUUGGUCAAUGGGCGCGAGCCUGAACCAGCCAAGUCGCGUGAAGGAAGAAGGAUCUAUGGUUCGUAAACUUCUUUUGCAGGGGAAUAAAGUGCAGGACGUGUCCUGUUUUGUAUGUACCCUGAGAAUAAGGAUCGGCUAACUCCGUGCCAGCAGCCGCGGUAAUACGGAGGAUCCGAGCGUUAUCCGGAUUUAUUGGGUUUAAAGGGUGCGUAGGUGGUUUGAUAAGUCAGCGGUGAAAGUUUGCAGCUUAACUGUAAAAAUGCCGUUGAAACUGUCGGACUUGAGUGUAAAUGAGGUAGGCGGAAUGCGUGGUGUAGCGGUGAAAUGCAUAGAUAUCACGCAGAACUCCGAUUGCGAAGGCAGCUUACUAAGCUACAACUGACACUGAAGCACGAAAGCGUGGGGAUCAAACAGGAUUAGAAACCCGAGUAGUCC
RNAcentral lists this ribosomal RNA (445 nucleotides) under uncultured bacterium. RNAcentral's name for it is "partial 16S ribosomal RNA". It matches the Rfam family "Bacterial small subunit ribosomal RNA", at positions 354 to 796 of the family's 1533-position model. The record is from RNAcentral.